This 460-nucleotide ribosomal RNA is filed under the name uncultured bacterium. RNAcentral describes it as "partial 16S ribosomal RNA". It matches the Rfam family "Bacterial small subunit ribosomal RNA", at positions 338 to 795 of the family's 1533-position model. The record is from RNAcentral.
CCUACGGGAGGCAGCAGUGAGGAAUAUUGGUCAAUGGGCUUACGCCUGAACCAGCCAAGUCGCGUGAGGGAAGACUGCCCUAUGGGUUGUAAACCUCUUUUGUCAGGGAGCAACGCCGGCUACGUGUAGCCGGACUGAGAGUACCUGAAGAAAAAGCAUCGGCUAACUCCGUGCCAGCAGCCGCGGUAAUACGGAGGAUGCGAGCGUUAUCCGGAUUGAUUGGGUUAAAAGGGUGCGUAGGCGGAAUGCCAAGUCAGCGGUAAAAUCGCGGGGCCCAACCUCGCUCCGCCGUUGAAACUGGCGUUCUUGAGUGGGCGAGAAGUAUGCGGAAUGCGUGGUGUAGCGGUGAAAUGCAGAGAUAUCACGCAGAACUCCGAUUGCGAAGGCAGCAUACCGGCGCCCAACUGACGCUGAAGCACGAAAGCGUGGGUAUCGAACAGGAUUAGAUACCCCUGUAGUC